GGUGAGGAAACAAAAGAAAUCCAAAGACAGAAACGACAGGAAAUGAGGAUAUUGAAAACUGACACUACUAUAUCUACAUUUGGUUUAGGUUUUUUUUUUUUUUCCCUUUUUGGAAGUUGUAUGUAAGAGAAAAAAAAUCACGAAAUGCUUUCAUUUCUCUGUGAUUGAGCAAACUCGUAAAAUAUUAAAGUAUUGAUUAAUAAUUGAUUAGAACUAACCUCACUGGAGCCAAUCAACCAUUUGGCAGGAUCGCUUUAAACUUUUAGGGGCUUUUAGCCCCCCUGGCUUCUAACCUUCCUCUUGUCUGAUUCAUUCAGGACUGAGCAGCGCUUCAGUCUGUUGGACGUGUGAUGUCACACUAUCCCUAUAGAACUGUGAGGUGGCUGCUUGGAGGUGGAUUAAAAACAAAGGGGAGCCCCAUCAAGCGCAGGGGAUGGUGAAAGGGGUGGGAAGGUCCAUCGCACUGGCCUUGAUGUUAGGAGUCAGGGAGAGUGGCUGGCUUUGUGUCUCACAGCUCCAUUUAGGUCAGACUUUGCCUUGAGAUGACAGUUAAGCCUGUCUGCCUGCCUGGAUGAUACUUAAAGUUGGUGAAACUGGUAUGACUGGAUUGGAGUACGGGCACAGCCAUCAGAUGAGCUAGGUCUAAAGCCUGCCUGGUGAGUUAUAAGAUUUCUGCCCUCAUACCUUCAAUCCCAGCACUCAGGAGGCAGAGACAGGAAGAUCUCUGUGAAUUUGAGAACAGCCUGGUCUACAAAGCAAGUUCCGGGACAGCCAAGGGUACAUAGAGAAACCGUGUCUCAAAAAUAAAACAAACUCCUGUCCUCUACCUGCCUCAGUGCCCUCCCUUAUAAGCUAGGGGUGAGACCAUGUAUUGACAUUCUCCACCAUGACUGAGGUAAAGGCUCUAACAGCUCAGGGAGACUCUAAAGUGAGAAGCCACUGUUCAGAGGAUAUAUACACACCAUGAGGCCUCAGGCUCCAAAAAUAACACUGGGAAAACUACAUAGUAGCUGUACUAUGGUGACUAUGGUGGUUGUGUGGAUAGCCACAGCUUCCUAAAGGAGCUCAGAACCUCGAGAGACAAACAUCUGUCUUCCCACAGCAAUGAUAUAAAAGCUGGGAAUAACUCAAAUCCUGAAUGAGUAGAUAAACCAAGUGUGGUCUGGCCAUAUAACAGAAAGUUAUUCAGCCUGAAGAAGGAAUGACACUCUGGCAUAAGCUGCCACAUGUGGAGGUCACCUCCUCCACCACAUGUGGAUUUACCCUGAGUCCUGCAGAACAACAAUGACCUGGGCCAGACUCAAAAGGGCAAAUACCCUGUGACUGCAUCACUAGAGGUCCCUGCAAUCCUCAAAGUUUGACGCUGAUGGGCUGGAGAGGUAGCUCUGGAGUUGCCAUGGAAGCAUGAAGACCUGAGUUCAGAUCCUAAGAACUGACAAAGCUGGACAUCUCAGCAUGAGCAACCCUAGCGCUCCGAUGGCAAGAUAGAAAGCACCAUCGGGAGAGCUAACAGAAGCUUCUGUGUUAACAGUGGACAACAAGAGACCCUGUCUCCUGCUGGCGAGGCUCAGCGGGUAAAGCCACUUGCUCUGCAAGCUGGGAGAGUGGGGGAGAUAAGGAAUCCCAAACGUUAUCCUCUGGCCUCCACACAUACACCCUGGUCUUCAUGCCCCCAUUAUAUACUCACACAC
This 1691-nucleotide long non-coding RNA is filed under the name Mus musculus (house mouse). RNAcentral's name for it is "long non-coding RNA chr11:119568841-119570532". The record is from RNAcentral. Lineage: Eukaryota; Metazoa; Chordata; Mammalia; Rodentia; Muridae.